AUACGGAGGGUGCAAGCGUUAUUCGGAUUUACUGGGCGUAAAGGGCGCGCAGGCGGCCUUAUAAGUCAGAUGUGAAAGCCCGGGGCUCAACCCCGGAAGUGCAUCUGAAACUAUAGGGCUUGAGUAUGGGAGAGGGAAGUGGAAUUCCUGGUGUAGCGGUGAAAUGCGUAGAUAUCAGGAGGAACACCGGUGGCGAAGGCGACUUCCUGGACCAAUACUGACGCUGAGGCGCGAAGGCGUGGGGAGCAAACAGGAUUAGAAACCCUGGUAGUCC
Molecule: ribosomal RNA, 274 nt
Filed under: uncultured bacterium
Lineage: Bacteria
Description: partial 16S ribosomal RNA
Rfam family: Bacterial small subunit ribosomal RNA
Source: RNAcentral